RNAcentral lists this ribosomal RNA (407 nucleotides) under uncultured bacterium. RNAcentral's name for it is "partial 16S ribosomal RNA". It matches the Rfam family "Bacterial small subunit ribosomal RNA", at positions 30 to 526 of the family's 1533-position model. The record is from RNAcentral.
AUUGAACGCUGGCGGCAGGCCUAAUACAUGCAAGUCGAGCGGAGCGGCGGACGGGUGAGUAAUGCCUAGGAAUCUGCCUGGUAGUUGGGGAUAACGUCAGGAACCGGGCGCUAAUACCGCAUACUAUCAGAUGAGCCUAGGACGGAUUAGCUAGUUGGAGUGGUAAAGGCCUACCAAGGCGACGAUCCGUAACUGGUCUGAGAGGAUGAUCAGUCACAUUGGAACUGAGACACGGUCCAUACUCCUACGGGAGGCAGCAGUGGGGAAUAUGGGAAAAUGGGCGCAAGCCUGAUCCAGCCAUACCGAGUGUGUGAAGAAGGCCUUCGGGUUGUAAAGCCCUUUUGUGGUGAAAGCGGUACCCAAAGAAUAAGCACCGGCUAACUUCGUGCCAGCAGCCGCGGUAAUUC